AGCUAUAAGGUAAUAUUUAUAGUCUUACCUGCCCAAUGUAAUAGAAUGAAUGGCCGCGGUACUCUGACCGUGCUAAGGUAGCGUAAUCAGUUGGCUUUUAAAUGGAGUCAGGAAUGAAAGGAAUAACCGGGUUAAGCUGUCUCCUAGCUAUUUUCUUGAAUUUACUGUUUGAGUGAAAAAGCUCAAGUGUUGAAAAGGGAAGAGAAGACCCUUAGAAUUUUUUUAAGAGUAAAUUUUUGUUUAUAAUUAUUUUGUUGGGGCGACAUAGAAAUAUAUUACAACUUUUUUUAUUAUACGUGCCGAUUUUAUUAAGAAAGAAUAAAUUACCUAAGGGAUAACAGCAUAAUUCUAUAAAUGAGUUUGUGACCUCGAUGUUGGACUAGGGAACUAGCAGGUUAGCCGCUUGUUG
RNAcentral lists this ribosomal RNA (409 nucleotides) under Madrella amphora. Its description in RNAcentral is "partial 16S large subunit ribosomal RNA". It matches the Rfam family "Archaeal large subunit ribosomal RNA", at positions 1921 to 2637 of the family's 2987-position model. Lineage: Eukaryota; Metazoa; Mollusca; Gastropoda; Nudibranchia; Madrellidae. The record is from RNAcentral.